Molecule: long non-coding RNA, 1284 nt
Organism: Sarcophilus harrisii (Tasmanian devil)
Lineage: Eukaryota; Metazoa; Chordata; Mammalia; Dasyuromorphia; Dasyuridae
Exons: 4
Source: RefSeq, a predicted model, not a curated record
UCAAGUCCAGUGGGGAGCUAAAAAUCAAGAUGACUGCUGAUGGCUUGGGAUGCAGUGAAUGACCUUUGCAUCUUUGAUAUGUGACCAAGCUCUAAACGCCCCACAGCAUUUGCUUCUGCCUCCUGCAUGGCCGUUGGAGCAAAUACAAAUGCUACAACUUUUUGGAGCCACAGCCAUCACAAGUUCUCCAACAGAGGCCUUCCUUGGUCUCUCGACAUCACAAAGACCAAUGGGACACCUGAAUUGUCCGUAUGUUUGGCCUUACCCCGUGACCCUUGCCUAAGGGUGAGUCUGGAGAGCACCUUCCCAAAUACGGUUGUCCCAGUACUCCAGAAGAUCCAGCCACAGCAGACGGGGCUGUCAAAGGCUUGACCAUGAGGUAGUAUCCAGCAGUAGCCGGGCUUGAUUAGGAGUCAUCCGCCGGAGACAUGACCUCUCUGACUCUCGAGGUCCUUGACAACUUGGACCUUUUAGGAGCAACUUCUUACACCUUGUAGCCACAGCCACCAUGCCAAGCUGUGCCUCUCCAGUCAAUGGUGGCUCACGCAGCUCCAUUAUGCUAGACUAGAAUGUCCUCUACUCCUCUGCUUGUGGAAAUCCUCCUAAUCCUUCCAGGCCUAGCUCCAACACAGCCCCUUUUGCUCAUGGUGCCUGCCCCAAGCCUUCUUUGUUUACCUCUAGUCAGGAGGGAGCUUUAUUCUCUGGACUCGCGUAGCUCUUUGUUUGUACUACGCUUAUGAUUCAUGUCCUCGUGUCCUAGCUUCCCGACAAGACUGCCAGCUCCUCGAGAAACAAAGACCCAUCUUUUUAAUGACAAUAUUCUACCGGUGUUGUAUGGUGGCAAGUCCCAGAAUAAGAAUCAUCUCCCAGGAAUUGAAAAUGAAUGUUGCCCAGAAGGCAAGAGAAUGGCAUAUGAUAUGUCUCAAUAAAGUGUAACACUUCCUAACAGGAAUUACAAAAGAAGACUCCAUUUUAUUCCAGGAUCCCAUCAAAGAAAUAUAUGAAUGUCAAAGAAUCUGGGCUGCUCAUGUGAUAAGACUUGCACACUGGGUGGGCUCCCUGUGGGGAGCAUGAGAGGAGACUUAGACAGAUUUUCUUGGGUAGGGCAGGAGGGAAAGAGUUGGAAUCUUUACCCAAAGGCUAUGGUGGGAGCUUUGGCAAUCUGAAUUAUUCUGGAAGAUCUGAGCUUGGUCUAGAACCUUGCAAAGUUUCCUGGAACACCUUAGAGUCUGUAUUUUGGGAUCAUGAAUCUAAGCUGUCUUGGACAUGAGUGCUAGUCUGGAC